GAUGAACGCUGGCGGCGUGCCUAAUACAUGCAAGUCGAGCGAACAGACGAGGAGCUUGCUCCUCUGACGUUAGCGGCGGACGGGUGAGUAACACGUGGAUAACCUACCUAUAAGACUGGGAUAACUUCGGGAAACCGGAGCUAAUACCGGAUAAUAUAUUGAACCGCAUGGUUCAAUAGUGAAAGACGGUUUUGCUGUCACUUAUAGAUGGAUCCGCGCCGCAUUAGCUAGUUGGUAAGGUAACGGCUUACCAAGGCAACGAUGCGUAGCCGACCUGAGAGGGUGAUCGGCAACACUGGAACUGAGACACGGUCCAGACUCCUACGGGAGGCAGCAGUAGGGAAUAUUCCGCAAUGGGCGAAAGCCUGACGGAGCAACGCCGCGUGAGUGAUGAAGGUCUUCGGAUCGUAAAACUCUGUUAUUAGGGAAGAACAAAUGUGUAAGUAACUAUGCACGUCUUGACGGUACCUAAUCAGAAAGACACGGCUAAAUACGUG
Molecule: ribosomal RNA, 497 nt
Filed under: uncultured bacterium
Lineage: Bacteria
Description: partial 16S ribosomal RNA
Rfam family: Bacterial small subunit ribosomal RNA
Source: RNAcentral